Molecule: transfer RNA, 85 nt
Filed under: Felis catus (domestic cat)
Lineage: Eukaryota; Metazoa; Chordata; Mammalia; Carnivora; Felidae
Rfam family: tRNA
About the family: Transfer RNA (tRNA) molecules are approximately 80 nucleotides in length. Their secondary structure includes four short double-helical elements and three loops (D, anti-codon, and T loops).
Source: Rfam by way of RNAcentral
GCCUGGGUGGCUCAGUCGGUUGAGCAUCCGACUUUGGCUCAGGUCAUGAUCUCCCAGUUAGUGGGUUCAAGUCCUGCAUCAGGCU